This 497-nucleotide ribosomal RNA is filed under the name uncultured bacterium. RNAcentral describes it as "partial 16S ribosomal RNA". It matches the Rfam family "Bacterial small subunit ribosomal RNA", at positions 28 to 507 of the family's 1533-position model. The record is from RNAcentral.
GAUGAACGCUGGCGGCGUGCCUAAUACAUGCAAGUCGAGCGAACAGACGAGGAGCUUGCUCCUCUGACGUUAGCGGCGGACGGGUGAGUAACACGUGGAUAACCUACCUAUCAGACUGGGAUAACUUCGGGAAACCGGAGCUAAUACCGGAUAAUAUAUUGAACCGCAUGGUUCAAUAGUGAAAGACGGUUUUGCUGUCACUUAUAGAUGGAUCCGCGCCGCAUUAGCUAGUUGGGAAGGUAACGGCUUACCAAGGCGACGAUGCGUAGCCGACCUGAGAGGGUGAUCGGACACACUGGAACUGAGACACGGUCCAGACUCCUACGGGAGGCAGCAGUAGGGAAUCUUCCGCAAUGGGCGAAAGCCUGACGGAGCAACGCCGCGUGAGUGAUGAAGGUCUUCGGAUCGUAAAACUCUGUUAUUAGGGAAGAACAAAUGUGUAAGUAACUAUGCACGUCUUGACGGUACCUAAUCAGAAAGCCACGGCUAACUACGUG